AAAUUACAUUUUAUACAUCUUUAUUUGCCCCUUUCAUAAUUGAUUUCCUCAAGGUACAUCACAAAUAUUUGGUGGUAUCUUUGGAAUUUUAACUUCUAAGAAUUUGUGAUCACCAUUGCUCAUUAGUGCCUCUGUUUUCUUCCAGUCUGCAUUUUCAGGCAGCUCGAUCCUCCGAACACAGCCGUGUUCCCACCAGUUCCCCACUCUCCAGUCCUUCGUCCCCGUCUCGACUUUCAGCCUAAAUUGCCCACUUACCUCUAAAACUUUUCCAUCCUCAACGGAGACACAAAUGAUACCUUUACCAACACCUGGAAUUUCUGUUUUCAACACAUAAUCUGUCUCAGUUUGAAUCCAAUCAACUUUGUAAUGAUUAUUAUUGGAACUUUUUGCAUUGGAUAAUAACACAUCUGAAUCAAAUUCCCAUAGUGGAAAUGCAUCAGAAGGAUCAAAAAAUUUGCCAAACAAAAGUGGACUAAAAAAUGAACCUUCACACAAAGCUUUAUGUGUUAUAAAAUUCCCUUUGUUCAUGAAUUUCACAAAAACAUCUUCUUUUAAUGGAACACACCAUUUUUUUGGGUUUG
RNAcentral lists this unclassified non-coding RNA (581 nucleotides) under Hevea brasiliensis (rubber tree). Lineage: Eukaryota; Viridiplantae; Streptophyta; Magnoliopsida; Malpighiales; Euphorbiaceae. The record is from RNAcentral.